Molecule: ribosomal RNA, 658 nt
Filed under: uncultured bacterium
Lineage: Bacteria
Description: bacterial SSU rRNA
Rfam family: Bacterial small subunit ribosomal RNA
Source: RNAcentral
CGUGGGCAACCUGCCUGUAAGACUGGGAUAACUUCGGGAAACCGAAGCUAAUACCGGAUAGGAUCUUCUCCUUCAUGGGAGAUGAUUGAAAGAUGGUUUCGGCUAUCACUUACAGAUGGGCCCGCGGUGCAUUAGCUAGUUGGUGAGGUAACGGCUCACCAAGGCAACGAUGCAUAGCCGACCUGAGAGGGUGAUCGGCCACACUGGGACUGAGACACGGCCCAGACUCCUACGGGAGGCAGCAGUAGGGAAUCUUCCGCAAUGGACGAAAGUCUGACGGAGCAACGCCGCGUGAGUGAUGAAGGCUUUCGGGUCGUAAAACUCUGUUGUUAGGGAAGAACAAGUACGAGAGUAACUGCUCGUACCUUGACGGUACCUAACCAGAAAGCCACGGCUAACUACGUGCCAGCAGCCGCGGUAAUACGUAGGUGGCAAGCGUUAUCCGGAAUUAUUGGGCGUAAAGCGCGCGCAGGCGGUUUCUUAAGUCUGAUGUGAAAGCCCACGGCUCAACCGUGGAGGGUCAUUGGAAACUGGGGAACUUGAGUGCAGAAGAGAAAAGCGGAAUUCCACGUGUAGCGGUGAAAUGCGUAGAGAUGUGGAGGAACACCAGUGGCGAAGGCGGCUUUUUGGUCUGUAACUGACGCUGAGGCGCGAAAGC